AACUCCGGCAGAUCGCCAACAACGUCGGUGACAACGUGAUGUUAACGCCUGCGCCAACUGAGCCACAGGAUCCCGAGGAUGAACUUGUUGUCGAGGUGUGGUCCCGCGCCGGAGCGCUUUUGCGCCGAACGCCGAACGCACCUUCGGUUCCGCGCCUGAAUUCGGCAGGUUUUGCGACCAUCGACGCAGGGGGAGUAUCUUGGCGUGUGUAUCAGGCGCGAGAUGCCGAUCGAACGGUGCAAAUCGCGCAACAGAUGGAGGUUCGUCGGGAAAUA
Molecule: unclassified non-coding RNA, 275 nt
Filed under: Hevea brasiliensis (rubber tree)
Lineage: Eukaryota; Viridiplantae; Streptophyta; Magnoliopsida; Malpighiales; Euphorbiaceae
Source: RNAcentral